This 499-nucleotide ribosomal RNA is filed under the name uncultured bacterium. Its description in RNAcentral is "partial 16S ribosomal RNA". It matches the Rfam family "Bacterial small subunit ribosomal RNA", at positions 28 to 507 of the family's 1533-position model. The record is from RNAcentral.
GACGAACGCUGGCGGCGUGCUUAACACAUGCAAGUCGAACGGGCCCGCCCCUGUUUUUGGGGGUGGGUUGAGUGGCGAACGGGUGAGUAUCACGUGAGUAACCUGCCCCCUGCUCCUGGAUAACUGCUUGAAAGGGCGGCUAAUACGGGGUGUGCCGGCUGGUCCGCAUGGGCCUGGUCGGGAUAGUUUCAUCUUCGGGUGUUUCGGUGGGGGAUGGGCUCGCGGCCUAUCAGCUUGUUGGUGGGGUGAUGGCCCACCAAGGCGGUGACGGGUAGCCGGCCUGGGAGGGGGGGCGGCCACACUGGGACUGAGACACGGCCCAGACUCCUGCGGGAGGCAGCAGUGGGGGGUAUUGCACAAUGGGCGGAAGCCUGAUGCAGCGACGUCGCGUGAGGGAUGGAGGCCUUCGGGUUGUGAACCUCUUUCUCCGGUGGUGAAGGCCCUGUCCGUUGCGGCGGGGUUGACGGUAGCCGGGUAUGAAGCGCCGGCUAACUACGUG